RNAcentral lists this ribosomal RNA (606 nucleotides) under uncultured Alphaproteobacteria bacterium. RNAcentral's name for it is "bacterial SSU rRNA". It matches the Rfam family "Bacterial small subunit ribosomal RNA", at positions 36 to 688 of the family's 1533-position model. The record is from RNAcentral. Lineage: Bacteria; Pseudomonadati; Pseudomonadota; Alphaproteobacteria.
CUGGCGGCAGGCCUAAUACAUGCAAGUCGAGCGCGCCCUUCGGGGUGAGCGGCGGACGGGUGAGUAACGCGUGGGAAUAUGCCCUUCUCUAAGGAAUAGCUUCUGGAAACGGAGAGUAAUACCUUAUACGCCCUUUGGGGGAAAGAUUUAUCGGAGAAGGAUUAGCCCGCGUUAGAUUAGGUAGUUGGUGGGGUAAUGGCCUACCAAGCCUACGAUCUAUAGCUGGUUUGAGAGGAUGAUCAGCCACACUGGGACUGAGACACGGCCCAGACUCCUACGGGAGGCAGCAGUAGGGAAUCUUAGACAAUGGGGGGAACCCUGAUCUAGCCAUGCCGCGUGUGUGAUGAAGGCCCUAGGGUCGUAAAGCACUUUCGCCAGAGAUGAUAAUGACAGUAUCUGGUAAAGAAACCCCGGCUAACUCCGUGCCAGCAGCCGCGGUAAUACGGAGGGGGUUAGCGUUGUUCGGAAUUACUGGGCGUAAAGCGCACGUAGGCGGAUUAGUAAGUUAGAGGUGAAAUCCCAGGGCUCAACCCUGGAACUGCCUUUAAUACUGCUAGUCUUGAGUUCGAGAGAGGUAAGUGGAAUUCCGAGUGUAGAGGUAAAAUU